Molecule: long non-coding RNA, 201 nt
Organism: Pistacia vera
Lineage: Eukaryota; Viridiplantae; Streptophyta; Magnoliopsida; Sapindales; Anacardiaceae
Exons: 2
Source: RefSeq, a predicted model, not a curated record
GAUAGGCAAAUACAGAGAGAUAAUUCUGAUGGUUUUAAAUUUUUUUCAGGCAACUUCUGAAGAUCUGAAAAAAUUGUUUAGCGAUGUUGGUGGGGUUGAAUCUGUUCGAAUGCUGUAGGACAAGUUCACCAGAAAGUCAAGGGGCCUGGCAUAUGUGGAUUUUGCCAAUGAUGCACACCUUGUUGCAGUUGUAGGAAAGAA